This 96-nucleotide transfer RNA is filed under the name Planctomycetota bacterium. RNAcentral's name for it is "Planctomycetes bacterium (groundwater metagenome) tRNA-Sec". It matches the Rfam family "Selenocysteine transfer RNA". Lineage: Bacteria; Pseudomonadati; Planctomycetota. The record is from RNAcentral.
GGGAGCGGAAGGGCACCUGGUGGGCCCCCGGGUCUUCAAAACCCAGGAUCCGGCCACAAGCUGGAUGGUGGGUUCGAUUCCCAUGCGCUCCCGCCA